RNAcentral lists this transfer RNA (90 nucleotides) under Streptomyces fumanus. Its description in RNAcentral is "tRNA-His(gtg)". Lineage: Bacteria; Bacillati; Actinomycetota; Actinomycetes; Kitasatosporales; Streptomycetaceae. The record is from RNAcentral.
UCGCGGGUGGCGCGCAGCGCCUGCUCGCCGUGGCCGACCAGGGCGGCCGGGGUCGACCAGGACGGCCCGUUCAGCCCGAGGCCCGCCAAC